Molecule: ribosomal RNA, 468 nt
Filed under: uncultured bacterium
Lineage: Bacteria
Description: partial 16S ribosomal RNA
Rfam family: Bacterial small subunit ribosomal RNA
Source: RNAcentral
GACGAACGCUGGCGGCGUGCUUAACACAUGCAAGUCGAACGGAAAGGCCCUGCUUUCGUGGGGUGCUCGAGUGGCGAACGGGUGAGUAACACGUGAGUAACCUGCCCUUGACUUUGGGAUAACUUCAGGAAACUGGGGCUAAUACCGGAUAGGAGCUCCUGCUGCAUGGUGGGGGUUGGAAAGUUUCGGCGGUUGGGGAUGGACUCGCGGCUUAUCAGCUUGUUGGUGGGGUAGUGGCUUACCAAGGCUUUGACGGGUAGCCGGCCUGAGAGGGUGACCGGCCACAUUGGGACUACGAUACGGCCCAGACUCCUACGGGGGGCAGCAGUGGGGAAUAUUGCACAGUGGGCGGAAGCCUGAUGCAGCAACGCCGCGUGCGGGAUGACGGCCUUCGGGUUGUAAACCGCUUUCGCCUGUGACGAAGCGUGAGUGACGGUAAUGGGUAAAGAAGCACCGGCUAACUACGUG